This 468-nucleotide ribosomal RNA is filed under the name uncultured bacterium. RNAcentral's name for it is "partial 16S ribosomal RNA". It matches the Rfam family "Bacterial small subunit ribosomal RNA", at positions 28 to 507 of the family's 1533-position model. The record is from RNAcentral.
GACGAACGCUGGCGGCGUGCUUAACACAUGCAAGUCGAACGGAAAGGCCCUGCUUUUGUGGGGUGCUCGAGUGGCGAACGGGUGAGUAACACGUGAGUAACCUGCCCUUGACUUUGGGAUAACUUCAGGAAACUGGGGCUAAUACCGGAUAGGAGCUCCUGCUGCAUGGUGGGGGUUGGAAAGUUUCGGCGGUUGGGGAUGGACUCGCGGCUUAUCAGCUUGUUGGUGGGGUAGUGGCUUACCAAGGCUUUGACGGGUAGCCGGCCUGAGAGGGUGACCGGCCACAUUGGGCCUGAGAUAGGGCGCAGUCGCGUACGGGAGGCAGCAGUGGGGAAUAUUACACAAUGGGCGGAAGCCAGAUGCGGCAACGCCGCGUGCGGGAUGACGGGCUUCGGGUUAUGAACCGCUUUCGCCUGUGACGAAGCGUGAGUGACGGUAAUGGGUAAAGAAGCACCGGCUAACUACGUG